ACACAGGUGGUCAGGUAGAGAAUACCAAGGCGCUUGAGAGAACUCGGGUGAAGGAACUAGGCAAAAUGGUGCCGUAACUUCGGGAGAAGGCACGCUGAUAUGUAGGUGAAGCGACUUGCUCGUGGAGCUGAAAUCAGUCGAAGAUACCAGCUGGCUGCAACUGUUUAUUAAAAACACAGCACUGUGCAAACACGAAAGUGGACGUAUACGGU
RNAcentral lists this ribosomal RNA (212 nucleotides) under Escherichia coli. RNAcentral describes it as "partial 23S ribosomal RNA". It matches the Rfam family "Bacterial large subunit ribosomal RNA", at positions 1657 to 1851 of the family's 2925-position model. Lineage: Bacteria; Pseudomonadati; Pseudomonadota; Gammaproteobacteria; Enterobacterales; Enterobacteriaceae. The record is from RNAcentral.